CACAACUCCAGUGGUGUGUGAUCACCCACAUUGCAGCAGCUCUUAUCAGAGAGGAUUCUCAAAGGAAGAAUAUUAGGUGGGAUUCAGCACAUUAUCAGGAAAAGUAAUUGGCUUAAAUGAUGAGGGGAAACAGUGUCUCUUCGGAUUUCGGAGGUUCCAUCAAAGUGAUAAACUUCAACCCCUCCAGGCCCCGGGAAUGGCUGGGUAUAAUACUGCAAAUGAGACAUAGGAAGUAUACAGGAAGUUCUCUUCAAACUUCGGACUCCGAGCAGUGGCUGGGCUUCCAGAGUCAAGCUCUAGCAGAGCACUCCCCACCAACAAUCUCUAGAGACAGAAUCUCACUCUAUUGCUCCGGUUGAAGUGCAGUGGCUGCUUACAGGGGCGAUCACGGUGCACUGCAGCCUCGAAGUCAUGGCCUCAAUCAGUCCCCCUGCCUCCACUCAAGGAUCUGCCUUAAAAAUCGCCUAUUAAAAAUCUAAUCAUUCAGAGUCGAAAGUCACCUCUGCUCUGACUCAUUUUUCGCACCAUAUAUGCCUGUGUCUCAUAAGUUUUUUUUUUCUAAUUUCAAAUAUGCUUUCAAAUUCUGUUGCAUUUCUAUAUCCACUGCUACUGUUCCACUAAACAUUUAACACUUCGUGAUUGUUUUAUAUCUCUUUUUGUGAUAGAAGAAAAAAAUCUUAUGUGUUGUAUAUGUCUAUUUCUUCUG
RNAcentral lists this long non-coding RNA (706 nucleotides) under Homo sapiens (human). Its description in RNAcentral is "HSALNT0016096". Lineage: Eukaryota; Metazoa; Chordata; Mammalia; Primates; Hominidae. The record is from RNAcentral.